This 866-nucleotide ribosomal RNA is filed under the name uncultured archaeon. RNAcentral describes it as "bacterial SSU rRNA". It matches the Rfam family "Archaeal small subunit ribosomal RNA", at positions 125 to 995 of the family's 1478-position model. The record is from RNAcentral.
CAUAACCCCGGGAAACUGGGGAUAAUACCCUAUAGGUUACGGGUGCUGGAAUGCCCUGUAACCGAAAGUUCCGACGCCUUAGGAUGGAUCUGCGGCCGAUUAGGUUGUUGUCGGGGUAAUGGCCCAACAAGCCAGUGAUCGGUACGGGUUGUGGGAGCAAGAGCCCGGAGUUGGAUUCUGAGACACGAAUCCAGGCCCUACGGGGCGCAGCAGGCGCGAAAACUUUACAAUGCGGGCAACCGUGAUAAGGGAACCUCGAGUGCCUGUAUAUGCAGGCUGUCCAGGUGUCUAAAACACACCUGAAGAAAGGGCCGGGCAAGACCGGUGCCAGCCGCCGCGGUAAUACCGGCGGCUCGAGUGGUGGCCACUUUUAUUGGGCUUAAAGCGUUCGUAGCUGGGUUGUUAAGUCUCUUGGGAAAUCCGGCAGCUUAACUGUCGGGCGUCUAAGGGAUACUGGUAAUCUUGGAACCGGGAGAGGUGAGGGGUACUUCGGGGGUAGGAGUGAAAUCCUGUAAUCCUCGAGGGACCACCUGUGGCGAAGGCGCCUCACCAGAACGGCUUCGACAGUGAGGGACGAAAGCUGGGGGAGCAAACCGGAUUAGAUACCCGGGUAGUCCCAGCCGUAAACGAUGCGCGUUAGGUGUAUCGGUGACCACGAGUCACCGAGGUGCCGAAGGGAAACCGUGAAACGUGCCGCCUGGGAAGUACGGUCGCAAGGCUGAAACUUAAAGGAAUUGGCGGGGGAGCACCACAACAGGUGGAGCCUGCGGUUUAAUUGGACUCAACGCCCGGAAAUCUCACCGGAUAAGACAGCUGAAUGAUUGCCGGGCUGAAGACUCUGCAUGACUAGCUGAGAGGAGGUGCAU